This 1436-nucleotide ribosomal RNA is filed under the name Chaetothyriales sp. MCRE15. Its description in RNAcentral is "eukaryotic LSU rRNA". It matches the Rfam family "Eukaryotic large subunit ribosomal RNA", at positions 1 to 1452 of the family's 3401-position model. The record is from RNAcentral. Lineage: Eukaryota; Fungi; Ascomycota; Eurotiomycetes; Chaetothyriales.
UUGACCUCGGAUCAGGUAGGAAUACCCGCUGAACUUAAGCAUAUCAAUAAGCGGAGGAAAAGAAACCAACAGGGAUUGCCUCAGUAACGGCGAGUGAAGCGGCAACAGCUCAAAUUUGAAAUCUGGCCUCUUUGGGGUCCGAGUUGUAAUUUGUAGAGGAUGUUUCGGGUACCGCCUCGGUCUAAAUUUCUUGGAACAGAAUGUCAAAGAGGGUGAGAAUCCCGUCUUGGAUCGGCGGUAGGGCCCAUGUGAAACUCCUUCGACGAGUCGAGUUGUUUGGGAAUGCAGCUCAAAAUGGGUGGUAUAUUUCAUCUAAAGCUAAAUAUUGGCCAGAGACCGAUAGCGCACAAGUAGAGUGAUCGAAAGAUGAAAAGCACUUUGAAAAGAGAGUUAAACAGUAUGUGAAAUUGUUGAAAGGGAAGCGCUUGCAACCAGACUUGAGCGCGGCGGUUCCCCCAUCCUUUUGGCUGGGUUACUCCGCCGCGUCCAGGCCAACAUCGGUUCUGGGGGUCGGUCAAAGACUCUGGGAAUGUAUCUACCCUCCGGGCGUAGACUUAUAGCCCAGGGUGUCAUGCGGCCUCCCGGGACCGAGGAACGCGCUUCGGCUCGGAUGUUGGCGUAAUGGUUGUCAGCGACCCGUCUUGAAACACGGACCAAGGAGUCUAACAUCUAUGCGAGUGUUUGGGUGUCAAACCCGGAACGCGAAAUGAAAGUGAACGGAGGUAGGAAGCUUCGGCUGCACUAUCGACCGAUCCUGAUGUCUUCGGAUGGAUUUGAGUAAGAGCAUAGCUGUUGGGACCCGAAAGAUGGUGAACUAUGCCUGAAUAGGGUGAAGCCAGAGGAAACUCUGGUGGAGGCUCGCAGCGGUUCUGACGUGCAAAUCGAUCGUCAAAUUUGGGUAUAGGGGCGAAAGACUAAUCGGAACCAUCUGGUAGCUGGUUCCUGCCGAAGUUUCCCUCAGGAUAGCAGUAACGUUUUCAGUUUUAUGAGGUAAAGCGAAUGAUUAGAGGCCUUGGGGUUGAAACAACCUUAACCUAUUCUCAAACUUUAAAUAUGUAAGAAGUCCUUGUUGCUUAAUUGAACGUGGACAUUUGAAUGUAUCGUUACUAGUGGGCCAUUUUUGGUAAGCAGAACUGGCGAUGCGGGAUGAACCGAACGUGAGGUUAAGGUGCCGGAAUAUACGCUCAUCAGACACCACAAAAGGUGUCAAUGCAUCCAGACAGCCGGACGGUGGCCAUGGAAGUCGGAAUCCGCUUAGGAGUGUGUAACAACUCACCGGCCGAAUGCAUUGGCCCUGAAAAUGGAUGGCGCUUAAGCGUAUUACCUAUACCUCGCCGUCAGGGUUGACAUGAUGCCCUGACGAGUAGGCAGGCGUGGAGGUCCGUGACGAAGCCUUGGGGGUGACCCCGGGUCGAACGACCUCUAGUGCAGAUCUG